CAUGCCAACGUAAAGCCCUGCUGCAGCACAGGGGACCACAGCUGUGGCACACACCAACUGCAGAGCUGGGCUCUUCUCUGGCACCAGGAAAAAACAGGAAGGGUGGCACUGAAACUGCUGGGCAUAUCCAGACAUAAAACCAGUGAGCCUUCACAUCUUCAUCCUGGGGAGUUGACUAGCUGAGGGAAAAAUAAAGCUUUAUAAUGCUGCCCACAUCAUACUAAUUGAGUGCCUACAAGGAUUGAAGUGAACAGGAUGACCAAUAUCUAUCAAUCAUGCAACUGUUCUCCCCUCUCCAUGGAAGGGACUGCACUGUACAUGCAGUACAAGACCUUGUUUCGCACCUAACGCAACGCAGGGGGCUCCUCGGCAGCAUCAAGCAACUACGGCAGUGCUGGUGCCUGGAGAUGUCCGUCUGUCUACGAAAGAAACUCGUCUCCCUUCGUGCCUCCAUCCUUGUUCCUGGAUUGGACUAGCAACCUGUUUCAGUUUGUGCUUUCCAUUUAGGCUAACCUCAGACGCUUGGUUUCCAGUUGAUUGGAAACAAGUGUGCUGGAAGCUGUCUGCUCUUUCUUCACUAUACAAUGUGGACUGCUGCCUGGCUCCAAUCUGGAAACAAUUAUUUCCCUCCUGUACCUACCCAUUCUGAAAAGGGAUUUACCCCUAGACUUUUUUUCCUCUUUGCACUUUUAUUAGCCGCUUCCUUCACAAAUAAAAGCUUGUCGUUGUACAUAAUGCCC
This is a long non-coding RNA of Aptenodytes forsteri (emperor penguin), 740 nucleotides long. RefSeq lists it as uncharacterized. The transcript is spliced from 3 exons. Lineage: Eukaryota; Metazoa; Chordata; Aves; Sphenisciformes; Spheniscidae. The record is from RefSeq and is a predicted model, not a curated record.